This 663-nucleotide ribosomal RNA is filed under the name Mus musculus (house mouse). RNAcentral's name for it is "partial ribosomal RNA". The record is from RNAcentral. Lineage: Eukaryota; Metazoa; Chordata; Mammalia; Rodentia; Muridae.
ACUGACACGCUGUCCUUUCCCUAUUAACACUAAAGGACACUAUAAAGAGACCCUUUCGAUUUAAGGCUGUUUUGCUUGUCCAGCCUAUUCUUUUUACUGGCUUGGGUCUGUCGCGGUGCCUGAAGCUGUCCCCGAGCCACGCUUCCUGCUUUCCCGGGCUUGCGCUUGCGUGUGCUUGCUGUGGGCAGCUUGUGACAACUGGGCGCUGUGACUUUGCUGCGUGUCAGACGUUUUUCCCGAUUUCCCCGAGGUGUCGUUGUCACACCUGUCCCGGUUGGAAUGGUGGAGCCAGCUGUGGUUGAGGGCCACCUUAUUUCGGCUCACUUUUUUUUUUUUUUUUUUUCUCUUGGAGUCCCGAACCUCCGCUCUUUUCUCUUCCCGGUCUUUCUUCCACAUGCCUCCCGAGUGCAUUUCUUUUUGUUUUUUUUCUUUUUUUUUUUUUUUUUUUGGGGAGGUGGAGAGUCCCGAGUACUUCACUCCUGUCUGUGGUGUCCAAGUGUUCAGCCACGUGCCUCCCGAGUGCACUUUUUUUUGUGGCAGUCGCUCGUUGUGUUCUCUUGUUCUGUGUCUGCCCGUAUCAGUAACUGUGCUUGCCCCGCGUGUAAGACAUUCCUAUCUCGCUUGUUUCUCCCGAUUGCGCGUCGUUGCUCACUCUUAGAUCGA